GGGUUCUAUCGUUGGUCGGGCUAUCCAGUCUGUACUAGCGUGUAGAAUUCUUACCUUCUGGGGGACCAUCAUGUUAUUAAUUUAGCGUGGUGGGAAACCAGGACCUUUACCUUGAAAAAAUUAGAGUGUUCAAAGCAGGCUUAUGUCUGAAUACAUUAGCAUGGAAUAAUAGAAUAGGACGGUGGUCCUGUUUUGUUGGUUUCUGAAUCACCGUAAUGAUUAAUAGGGAUAGUUG
Molecule: ribosomal RNA, 235 nt
Filed under: uncultured Glomeromycotina
Lineage: Eukaryota; Fungi; Glomeromycota
Also listed under: 1 other name
Description: partial 18S ribosomal RNA
Rfam family: Eukaryotic small subunit ribosomal RNA (bases 41-235)
Source: RNAcentral